This 166-nucleotide ribosomal RNA is filed under the name Mesembryanthemum amplectens. Its description in RNAcentral is "5.8S ribosomal RNA". It matches the Rfam family "5.8S ribosomal RNA". From Rfam's summary of the family: 5.8S ribosomal RNA (5.8S rRNA) is a component of the large subunit of the eukaryotic ribosome. It is transcribed by RNA polymerase I as part of the 45S precursor that also contains 18S and 28S rRNA. Functionally, it is thought that 5.8S rRNA may be involved in ribosome translocation. The record is from RNAcentral. Lineage: Eukaryota; Viridiplantae; Streptophyta; Magnoliopsida; Caryophyllales; Aizoaceae.
UAAAACGACUCUCGGCAACGGAUAUCUCGGCUCUCGCAUCGAUGAAGAACGUAGCGAAAUGCGAUACUUGGUGUGAAUUGCAGAAUCCCGUGAACCAUCGAGUCUUUGAACGCAAGUUGCGCCCGAAGCCUUCGGGCCGAGGGCACGUCUGCCUGGGCGUCACGCA